CCUACGGGUGGCUGCAGUGGGGAAUAUUGGACAAUGGGCGAAAGCCUGAUCUAGCCAUGCCGCGUGUGUGAAGAAGGCCUUCGGGUUGUAAAGCACUUUCAGUGGGGAAGAAAGCCUUGGGGCUAAUACCCUCGAGGAAGGACAUCACCCACAGAAGAAGCACCGGCUAACUCCGUGCCAGCAGCCGCGGUAAUACGGAGGGUGCGAGCGUUAAUCGGAAUUACUGGGCGUAAAGCGCGCGUAGGCGGUCUGAUAAGCCGGUUGUGAAAGCCCCGGGCUCAACCUGGGAACGGCAUCCGGAACUGUCAGGCUAGAGUGCAGGAGAGGAAGGUAGAAUUCCCGGUGUAGCGGUGAAAUGCGUAGAGAUCGGGAGGAAUACCAGUGGCGAAGGCGGCCUUCUGGACUGACACUGACGCUGAGGUGCGAAAGCGUGGGUAGCAAACAGGAUUAGAUACCCUGGUAGUC
This 465-nucleotide ribosomal RNA is filed under the name Vreelandella stevensii. RNAcentral describes it as "partial 16S ribosomal RNA". It matches the Rfam family "Bacterial small subunit ribosomal RNA", at positions 338 to 795 of the family's 1533-position model. The record is from RNAcentral. Lineage: Bacteria; Pseudomonadati; Pseudomonadota; Gammaproteobacteria; Oceanospirillales; Halomonadaceae.